RNAcentral lists this microRNA precursor (202 nucleotides) under Vigna angularis (adzuki bean). RNAcentral's name for it is "pre miRNA MIR530". It matches the Rfam family "MIR530 microRNA precursor family". Lineage: Eukaryota; Viridiplantae; Streptophyta; Magnoliopsida; Fabales; Fabaceae. The record is from Rfam by way of RNAcentral. RNAcentral also lists the same sequence under 1 other name.
UCCAAUAUGCUGCCUUUGCCUGCAUUUGCACCUGCACUUUACUUGCUUUUCUCUCUUCAACUAUCUACCUUAAGUAGUUCCUACAAAACACACAUGUUCAUGGAAUUAAACACAAGAUUACGUUGUGUAUGUGUGUGGGAAUGGAUGAGAAACCAAGCAAGCACGAGGUGCAGGUGCAUCUGCAGGCGAAUGACAUCUUGGA